AGAGGCUGUCUGACUAAAGACAGGUUGUGGGUAGCUAGAGAGGCUGUCUGACUAAAGACAGGUUGUGGGUAGCUAGAGAGGCUGUCUGAAUAAAGACAGGUUGUGGGUAGCUAGAGAGGCUGUCUGAAUAAAGACAGGUUGUGGGUAGCUAGAGAGGCUGUCUGAAUAAAGACAGGUUGUGGGUAGCUAGAGAGGCUGUCUGACUAAAGGCAGGUUGUGGGUAGCUAGAGAGGCUGUCUGAAUAAAGACAGGUUGUGGGUAGCUAGAGAGGCUGUCUGACUAAAGGCAGGUUGUGGGUAGCUAGAGAGGCUGUCUGAAUAAAGACAGGUUGUGGGUAGCUAGAGAGGCUGUCUGAAUAAAGACAGGUUGUGGGUAGCUAGAGAGGCUGUCUGAAUAAAGACAGGUUGUGGGUAGCUAGAGAGGCUGUCUGAAUAAAGACAGGUUGUGGGUAGCUAGAGAGGUAGUCUGACUAAAGACAGGUUGUGGGUUGCUAGAGAGGCUGUCUGAGUAAAGGCAGGUUUUAUUUUUUAUUUUACCUUUAUUUAACUAGGCAAGUCAGUUCAGAACAAAUUCUUAUUUUCAAUGACGGCCUAGGAACAGUGGGUUAACUGCCUGUU
Oncorhynchus keta (chum salmon) is the source of this 617-nucleotide long non-coding RNA. RefSeq lists it as uncharacterized. NCBI's taxonomy places the organism in Eukaryota, Metazoa, Chordata, Actinopteri, Salmoniformes, Salmonidae. The transcript has 4 exons. The record is from RefSeq and is a predicted model, not a curated record.